AUACGGCCAUAUCACGUUGAAACACCAGUUCUCGUACGAUCUCCGAAGUUAGGCAAUGUCGACCUGGUCAGUAUCUAGAUGGAUAGCCGCUUGAGAGUACCGGGUGUUGUAA
Non-coding RNA from Acanthosepion pharaonis, 112 nucleotides. Lineage: Eukaryota; Metazoa; Mollusca; Cephalopoda; Sepiida; Sepiidae. The record is from the annotation of a GenBank genome assembly.